This is a long non-coding RNA of Pleuronectes platessa (European plaice), 3130 nucleotides long. RefSeq lists it as uncharacterized. The record is from RefSeq and is a predicted model, not a curated record. The transcript is spliced from 6 exons. Lineage: Eukaryota; Metazoa; Chordata; Actinopteri; Pleuronectiformes; Pleuronectidae.
GGACUGCGGGGCUCUGAGGGAGAGCUGCCUGGAGACAGGGCAGCUGUUCGAGGAUGACUGCUUCCAGGCUCUGCCCUCAUGCCUGGGCAAACUCGAAAAGGGUGCGGGGCAUCAUCUGGAAGAGACUCUUGGAUGAAUGGAUGCUACGAGGCUCUCAAAGGACGCAGCAUCAUUGAGGAUUUUGAGGACCUCACCGGAGGCAUUUCUGAGAGUCAUGACCUGAGGAAGGCUGAUCCCCAUCUCUUAAAAAGCAUUGAGAAGGCCCUGGACUGAGGGUCCCUUCUGGGAUGCUCCAUUGAUGUUUUUUUGACUUUCUUGUUUUACUUUCAUGGAGCAUUGUUGGUGUUCUCUCGGGAUCUGGUGGUUUUGACCUCACUACUUUUUCCUCUCAGUCCCUGUGCCAAUCCACGAUUGAUUCAAGAGCUGUCUACAAUCGCGGGCUGUUGACAGAUCAUCCCUAUUCAUUGACGGGAGCGGAGCAGGUGGAAUACAACGGGGAAAUGGUGCAGUUGAUCAAUCUCAUCCCAUUAUCCAAAAAUAAAGCCAAAAUAUCCUUGAUGCACAGGCUGCCAUCUUGCACCGAUGACAUUGUUUUGGAGACAGUCUGGACAGUAGACAUCUUGAGAUGCAGCCAACGGAACGAAGGGCCACUAGGGUUGCAAAAUUUCGGGAAUAUUCAUAACUGGAAACUUUCCAUGGGAAUUAACGGGAAUAUAAGGGAAUAUACAGGAAUAUACGGGAAUUAACGGGAAUAAACUGGAAAUGUUGUAAAUAUUAACUUUUUUUUUUUCAUAGGGUGAUUUGAGCCCUGAGGAAACUUGGGCAAUUGGCAUAUGCUUCUGCAUCUUUGUGUCAUUCUUAACAUAGGUCUUUGCACAGUAUUUGCAAAUGUACACAGCCUUUCCUUCUACAUUGGCUGGAGUGAAAUGUCUCCACACAUGAGAUAGUGCAUGUGGCAUUGUUUUGUAGAAUGUAAGUCGCUUUGGACAAAAGCGUAAGCUAAAUGACAUGUAAUGUAAUGUAAUGUAGAAUAAGAUGACAAAAAAGCACUAAUGCAAUGCCAGAGAAAUAAAUAGUUGGCCCAACAAUUGGAAUCGUCUUUAAAAAUAUUUUUCAAUUGAUGGAUAAUUAAUAGAAAUAGGCUAGAUGAACAGAUGAACAAUCCUCAAUCAGCAUGCUAAUAUAUUUUCCCCAGUAAUAUCAUCGAAACUUACCUGACUAGUCCUGCACACUACAGCAGGCCUCAAUAGCCCUGCUGUAGUGUGCAGGAUCCUUGGAAUAAUCUGUGCAUGUGAUGGAGAAAUGCACAGUGGAGGGUUGAAAUUCAACGUGCAGAGUGUGCUGCAUUCCAUACAUCUUUAAAAUAGAGUUUUGAAUGAUGUUUUUAUUGCAUGAUUUGUAACUUAUACUUCUGCCUGCCACCAGGGGGCAUUCAAGGUGCUUUGGCUUAACUGCAAGGGAGCAGUGAUGUUGUUCAUUUUAAUACACAUUAUGUGGUGAACAUGGACCCAUUAUUCCUAUUAAACUCCAGCACUGAACCUCACAGCCCAAUGGAUGUAGACACUUGAGUACUUGGACUAACUAUCCACUGUAGAAUAUGAAGACAUAUUUACCUGAAAAAGCAUAAAUCAUGUCAAGAAAGUGUUUCAGCUACAUUUUAGACUGAGCUGUGGAAGUGUGAUAAAAUUAUUAAUACAAAUUUAAUUCAUUUUUUAGUUUAUGUCAUGAAUGGGCCCAUUGCAGUUAAUUGCAGUUAAAUCACACCUGUAAGAGGACCCAGCGCUAUUGACUCAUCCUUUGUUUUUAUGAGGGUGUUAAGUGUGUACUCUUCUGUCAUGCGUGUAACCCUCUGAAAUGUUUUCAAACCCAGUGGCAGGUAAAUCCUGUUGUUUCAAAGACUUAUUUGUGUGUUCGAGUUGUGGAUGGAGGACUUGUGUGGCGCUCACUUCACAGUGCUUCUUAUUUGUGCAAAACACUAUUCAACUUACUCACACCCAAAUUCUAGUUCUGGCCACUGGAGAUGUGUGAGUGAUGACGAUCGGAAGGCUGACCAACAGUUCUGACAACGAGGAGUUCUGGAUAUAAUUUCCUGACUUCCUGCAUGAAUAUUCUUACCUUGAGAUCUGCAACCUCCCCCUCGAAUACUCGAAGUGGGUAGAGUCCGAGUUUGAAGGCACAUCGAGGAAUAACGUGUCAGCUGGCGGCAUCAGAAACUUUAUAGGUACAACCAGUUUCAUAAUUUUUGCAUAAUUACCACUCCAGAUUUGAACCCAUCCCUGAUUUAUUUGUCUGGAUGAGGUGGAUGAUACCGUGAUGAUGGGGAGGAGGGCUGCAGCUUAAUCGUGUGCUUGAUGCAGAAGAGCAGACACAGGUACCAGCCUCGCUGGACAAUUGUUUUUUCCAUCUACGAGCUGCCUGAGGAGGUACAUAAGCAAAGAUGAAGACACUUCAUGAACUUGUUGCUUGGAGCCGUCGUUUUUAAUGAAGAAUGAGCAUUCAAAGCAACUGUCUCAUUAAUGUUCAAUUCAAAAUAUAAAAACAACGAGGUGCAAUGGAUGGUGUGUAUGCAGUGCCCUCAUGUGACCAAACUGCACAUGUUUUUUUCCAGUACUCUGGCAAAAGGCAGGUUCACCUGACGAGGGACUUCUUCGAGUACAACCGAUCAGUAGCACUCUCCGAGAACUUCAUCGACAAUCGAGAAGUGUGCAGCCGCUUCUGUCUUCCCCCUGGAGAAUACCUCAUCAUCCCCUCCACCUUCAUCCCAGAGAGGAAGGAGACGUCUAUAUGCGGAAUAUUCUAUAUUCUAAAGGGGCUGAUUUCCAUUACGCUCAUUUCAUAAUUUUUUUUAUGUAAUUUAUAAUCACAGUGUUCAGAAUGAUCAUAUGAUGUGACUUUUGGCUUUCAGGGAGUUUGAUGAUCCUGUGGACGAGGAAGUAAAUAAUAUCCCUUGAUGUAUGCAGUGGCUGUCUCUGGCAAUGGUGUAGUAGAAGACUGUUACAGAAAAGGAUCCAGUUUUGUGUUGAAGUAUCAUCAUAUCUGGUUUCAGGUUUUCUGGUGAAUGUCUUUGCGAUGAAUGGAUAUUCAAUUUCAGUGAAAACUUUCCCCAGUUGUCUGAUAAUCCAUUAACAAA